This 253-nucleotide ribosomal RNA is filed under the name uncultured bacterium. RNAcentral describes it as "partial 16S ribosomal RNA". It matches the Rfam family "Bacterial small subunit ribosomal RNA", at positions 524 to 776 of the family's 1533-position model. The record is from RNAcentral.
UACGUAGGGGGCAAGCGUUGUCCGGAUUUAUUGGGCGUAAAGAGCGUGUAGGCGGCUAGAUAGGUCCGUUGUGAAAACUCGAGGCUCAACCUCGAGACGUCGAUGGAAACCAUCUGGCUAGAGUCCGGAAGAGGAGUGUGGAAUUCCUGGUGUAGCGGUGAAAUGCGCAGAUAUCAGGAAGAACACCUAUGGCGAAGGCAGCACUCUGGGACGGUACUGACGCUGAGACGCGAAAGCGUGGGGAGCAAACAGG